This 259-nucleotide ribosomal RNA is filed under the name uncultured bacterium. Its description in RNAcentral is "partial 16S ribosomal RNA". It matches the Rfam family "Bacterial small subunit ribosomal RNA", at positions 15 to 263 of the family's 1533-position model. The record is from RNAcentral.
GAUCAUGGCUCAGGAUGAACGCUAUCUACAGGCUUAACACAUGCAAGUCGAGGGGAAACGACAUCGAAAGCUUGCUUUUGAUGGGCGUCGACCGGCGCACGGGUGAGUAACACGUGUGCAACCAACCCCGUACCGGGAGAUAACCCGCGGAAACGUGGACUAACAUCCCAUAAUACUGGAGGAUCGCAUGAUCUUUCAUUUAAAAUUCCGGUGGUACGGGACGGGCACGCGCGACAUUAGGUAGUUGGCGGGGUAACGG